UACAGAGGUGGCAAGCGUUGUCCGGAUUUACUGGGCGUAAAGAGCGCGCAGGCGGUCGGAUAAGUCGAAUGUGAAAGCCCCCGGCUCAACUGGGGAGGGUCAUUCGAUACUGUUCGACUCGAAGGCAGGAGAGGGAAGUGGAAUUCCCGGUGUAGUGGUGAAAUGCGUAGAUAUCGGGAGGAACACCAGUGGCGAAGGCGACUUCCUGGCCUGUUCUUGACGCUGAGGCGCGAAAGCUAGGGGAGCAAACGGG
RNAcentral lists this ribosomal RNA (253 nucleotides) under uncultured bacterium. Its description in RNAcentral is "partial 16S ribosomal RNA". It matches the Rfam family "Bacterial small subunit ribosomal RNA", at positions 524 to 776 of the family's 1533-position model. The record is from RNAcentral.